Molecule: long non-coding RNA, 2273 nt
Filed under: Podarcis lilfordi (Lilford's wall lizard)
Lineage: Eukaryota; Metazoa; Chordata; Lepidosauria; Squamata; Lacertidae
Source: RNAcentral
AACGCACGCGCCAGACCCUCGCAAGUCCCGCUCACUUUUUUCUCUUGCUCGAGCCCAGCUCUGCUGCCCCGGCGCGAGCUACAAGUGGGUCACCUCGAGGCGAGGAAAGCGAGCGGACUGGACGGAGGGAGGGAGGGAGGGAGGGAGGGCCCUCUGACGGGGAGGCCGGGCUGGGCCGCGCGCGAGGAGCCGACGGCCAAUCAGCAGCGCCCUGCGCGGCGCAAUCCGGGCACAUGUGGGGAGCGGGAGACCCGUGGUUCCUGCGCCUCACAGCGCCUGGCAGGAGUCCCAGGCGACGUCGCCCCAAAAUCUGCCACCGACUGCCCAGAGACCUGGCUUGAGCGCUCGCACGUGCAGCUCCUUAGAAGGUUUCUCGGGGCACGAAGUCGCCACAGGGAACCUGAGGCGUUGCCAGACAAUCGGAAGGUCCCGAGAAUGUCUGUUUUUGCGGGAUUCCCACCCAGGGCAGUUACCACGGUAGUUGUCGCCACGUGGUAGGCUUCCUACAAAUCUGAUAAAAGGGAAAGGGCAAAUAGCUACUGGCAAACAGGGUCAGGGAGAAAUCUGCAAAUAAAGACAUUUUCUCCCCUCCCGGAGUAAAGUUGCCUAGAAUGGCUGGAUGGCUCGUGAUGGGCAACCUUUCUGCCUUUGACCUCAUCUUUCAAAACUACUGGUGGAUAAAUGCAGCCCUGCUGCACGAAAAUGCAUUGCCUUCCAUACACUUAUUUUUCUCCCUUUUAAAGAUGGGUGAAAAAGUUCACGUUCGCAACCUUGCAGCUAUGGGAGACAGCAGUUGUGUUGCGUCAUUCUUGACAUCACAGAUAAUAUCCAGCAUGUGCCUGUGUGACACUGGUGCAAACUAUACUCCAAAGAACAAUUGCAACAGGCACCUCUGUGGCAAGAUAAAUAGCUUUCUCGGGGAAGAUAAGCACACAAACUCUAUACAAAAUAUAACAUGUUCCCUAGCACAUUCAGUCUUCAAACAGAAUAUCCCGAGGCACAGCCAGGAGCAAAGAUGUGUGGACUUUGCAGAGCAAAUGGAUAACACUAUGAUUAAAAACUGAUAAUCAUUUUUACUAUGUUAAAGGAAGUUCCUAGACCCGAUAGAGACAAUAUUUUCUGAGAAUGGGGCAUUAGUGCUCUAAGUUCUAUAGGGCUGGAUUGUCAUGUUUAGGGCCUCAGUGUAAUUGGUUAAUUUAAAAUAUUUAAAUGGAGUCGAAAUAUGCCCUUGAAUGAUCAGAUAGCAAAUUUUGAAGAAAAGCUGUUAAUUAUUUUUAGUGCAAGUGCUUACAAAAACUGUGGGUGGCAGACAUGGACGUAGUAGCCAGGAUUUUUGUUGGGGUGGGGCAGCCAAAGUGGUGGCAGAUGUUGCUGUGGCUUUAAGAAGGUGUGUUGCUCCUCCUGUCCUGCAGGAGGGAAUGUCUCAUCUAAGACGGUGCCUGCUGUGAAACAUGAAUGCAUCAUCUAAAAGCAAAGGAAUAAUGCUUUUAUUAUUUUAUUCAUGAAUGCAGAUUUAAUCAAAUAAUUAUAACUCGUACGGUUAAUGAAUAAACUACUAAGCUUAUCAGUUGAAGGACCAGAAGCACAAUAAGUGAUUGAAAAUGAAAGUGCAGCGCUCAUGAACUGAGUUGUGCAAAAGCACAAGAAGAAUGUAAAUCCAGCUAACGUUAAUUUAAAAAUUAAGUUAAUGUAAGAGUCAAAAUUGCAAAACAUUUGGGGGGGGGUCUUUACUUUGCUGGCAUACAGCCUGAGUCCACUUUUCGCAAGGGCAAAGGGUUUUAACCCUCAGUCCCCCUUGGAAAUUCUGGCACUCCCUCUAUUUGUUUCUUCCCUUCUAGAACAAAAUGUGAAAUGGUCAUUGCAAAAAAAGCACUUUGUGGAAAUGACCUUUUUAUCGCCACUCUUGCAGGACAGAGAACUUGUUUCUUUACAAGUAGCAUCAUGGGAAUUAAUGGAUUCCUCCAACCCCACCACUUAAAAAAAGAGAAGAAGCUGGAACAAAUGAUUCCCUUAACUAUUCUGUCCAAAUAACUUUUGGGGAAGAUUGUUUGUUUGUCUGUCUGUUUGAUUAGUAUCUGAAGGUUUUUGUAGGCUACCUUUCAUCCAAAUGUAUCCUGGGAGAUGGGGGUUCAUGUUAGGGAAUUAUGGUAACAUAUAAUUGUGUAAUGGGUAAAAUAUUAUCCCCAAAAAUCAAUUAUUAGGGAUGGAACACGCCUUCCCUUUCUUUUCAGCAUAUGGAUAUGAAGCAGAUGAUUUUCCUAAUUACCCCUGUG